Molecule: ribosomal RNA, 450 nt
Filed under: uncultured bacterium
Lineage: Bacteria
Description: partial 16S ribosomal RNA
Rfam family: Bacterial small subunit ribosomal RNA
Source: RNAcentral
GUGGGGAAUUUUGGACAAUGGGCGAAAGCCUGAUCCAGCAAUGCCGCGUGCAGGAAGAAGGCCUUCGGGUUGUAAACUGCUUUUGUACGGAACGAAACGGUCCUGGCUAAUAUCCGGGGCUAAUGACGGUACCGUAAGAAUAAGCACCGGCUAACUACGUGCCAGCAGCCGCGGUAAUACGUAGGGUGCGAGCGUUAAUCGGAAUUACUGGGCGUAAAGCGUGCGCAGGCGGUGCUGUAAGACAGGCGUGAAAUCCCCGGGCUCAACCUGGGAAUUGCGCUUGUGACUGCAGUGCUGGAGUGCGGCAGAGGGGGAUGGAAUUCCGCGUGUAGCAGUGAAAUGCGUAGAUAUGCGGAGGAACACCGAUGGCGAAGGCAAUCCCCUGGGCCUGCACUGACGCUCAUGCACGAAAGCGUGGGGAGCAAACAGGAUUAGAAACCCGGGUAGUCC